UAACACGUAAACAACCUGCCUUCAAGAUGGGGACAACAGACGGAAACGACUGCUAAUACCGAAUACGAUCCGAAAGUCGCAUGACAUUUGGAUGAAAGGGUGGCAUAUCGAAGAAGCUAUCGCUUGAAGAGGGGUUUGCGUCCGAUUAGGUAGUUGGUGAGGUAACGGCCCACCAAGCCGACGAUCGGUAGCCGGUCUGAGAGGAUGAACGGCCACACUGGAACUGAGACACGGUCCAGACUCCUACGGGAGGCAGCAGAC
RNAcentral lists this ribosomal RNA (261 nucleotides) under uncultured Dialister sp. RNAcentral describes it as "partial 16S ribosomal RNA". It matches the Rfam family "Bacterial small subunit ribosomal RNA", at positions 111 to 354 of the family's 1533-position model. The record is from RNAcentral. Lineage: Bacteria; Bacillati; Bacillota; Negativicutes; Veillonellales; Veillonellaceae.